Long non-coding RNA from Amblyraja radiata (thorny skate), 248 nucleotides. RefSeq lists it as uncharacterized. The record is from RefSeq and is a predicted model, not a curated record. NCBI's taxonomy places the organism in Eukaryota, Metazoa, Chordata, Chondrichthyes, Rajiformes, Rajidae. The transcript is spliced from 3 exons.
GAGAAGGAGGGAUGUGUGUUUGCAAAGAUAGAGUAAAUUCAUACUUUAAGGUUUGUAAUGUAAGAUGAUGUUAGUUAAUUAUAUGAUUUGUAAUGAGAAUAUAUGGGAAAUAUAUUGUGCUUUAAUUAGGAUUAUAAACAUUAGACCCCUGUGUUGAGAUCUGUAGUUUAAGAGGUAACAUUCUUUCCCAAGACCUAUAGAGUUUAAUGGGAACAAUGUCUUAUUUAUAUAAAUUGAUCUAAUUUUGA